This is a long non-coding RNA of Micropterus dolomieu (smallmouth bass), 1533 nucleotides long. RefSeq lists it as uncharacterized. NCBI's taxonomy places the organism in Eukaryota, Metazoa, Chordata, Actinopteri, Centrarchiformes, Centrarchidae. The record is from RefSeq and is a predicted model, not a curated record. The transcript has 4 exons.
UUGUUCCCAACCAGGGAGACAACAGGCUGGAUAUCAGAUUCCUCGUUGGCCUUCUUCACCAUGCUGAACCAAUCCUCCAGGUUCUCAAAGCUCUGGUAGUUGGUGAUAUCGUAAACCAGGAGAAGCCCCUGCAUUGGAAACGCAUAAAGGAACAAUGUUGGCACCGUCCUCAGACUGAUUUGAGCAUCUCACCUUCACACUCCCUCACUUGGAAAUACUGGAUAUAAGGUCAGGGUGUCGCUGCAACAUGAGGGAUGAAGAGGAAUUUGCACCUGGGCCACUUUGAAGCAGGUGGCAGUGACUGUCAGGCAAGAAUAAAAAGUCGAGACCAUCUGGUGGAAGCUCCCCCUCUUCAGAGGAAUCUGACAGCAGCUGCUCGUCUUCACUUUCACCCUCGAAUGACGACAGGUCGCUAGUGUGGACUGAGCUCACUGUGAUGUCGCUCAGGCCAUCCAGAUCCAUCUGGUCCUGCGUGUCCUCUGUUUUCACUUCUAAUGCCAGGACCUCUGAUGCCAGCUCCUCUGCCUCUUCCAGUGGCUUCCCGUCAUGGGGGCUGUCUCCAUCCUCAUCAACACUCAUGUCCUGCUCGCCCUCCUCCACCAGCUGCAUGGGCUCAUUGUAAGCUUGGCAUUUACGCCCUUUAUCUGCGCCUGAGCUGGCCCUGACGCUGGCUUCCUGGUUGAGAGAGGUUAUGGUGUCCAGGAUGGACAUGGCGUCGCUGGCGGAAGUGGUAGCUGGAGCAGAAGACAAGGCUGUAAAAAUGACAGAUGCUGUUUAAUUUAACAUUGAGGAGAAAGUCACCAUUCUGGUUGCACCUCUUUCACAUGACACUCAUAGUGCAAGGUCAGCUACAAAGCAGCUUUCCUGAUCAGCUUUAUCAAGGUGCACUAGGUUAGUUCACCAAGGCAGAACGAGUUUCAGAUACUUUGCUCCUUUUAAAUUUAAUGAACUGCCCUCAAGCUAAAUUCUCUCAUUCCUCAUGGAGAUCUCAAAGUUUGACUAUCUGAUGUUUUUAUGACUCUAAUAGUUUUUAUGAAUUAUAUUUUGUCACUUCAUGAUUAGUUGUUUGGCUUCAUCUGUGUUGUUCUUGUACACUGGUUGUGUGGCUGACUAUGUAUGAAUCUUGUUCUUAGAUCUCUCAUGAAAAAGAGAUUUUGAACUCAAUGAGAGUACCUCAUUAAAUUAAGUUAUUAAUUGCUUACUGAUAUGUUCAAAAUGUCAUGUCAGCAGUGUGUAAAUCUGAAUCCUCACUGUGCUCUGAGAGGCAGCCCCCAAGCCAUACAUUACAUACAUCAUAAACUUUACUAGAAAGGAGAAGUGAACUAAUGCUUCAACUUAAUUUAAGGCAGCUUUCCAUUUUUAAAGGAAUAGUUCAACACUUUGGGAGGUAGGUUUAUUCACUUUCUUUCUGAGUUAGAUGAGAAAGCAAAUAAGCAUGUUUCCAAAAAUUUGGAACUUAAAGAAUUAGUGGAAAUUCAAACAAGGAAAUGGCUGCUAUUGUCUGCAGAUCAGUAGAUAUCAGCCAUAAGCAGA